Long non-coding RNA from Hypanus sabinus (Atlantic stingray), 1069 nucleotides. RefSeq lists it as uncharacterized. The record is from RefSeq and is a predicted model, not a curated record. NCBI's taxonomy places the organism in Eukaryota, Metazoa, Chordata, Chondrichthyes, Myliobatiformes, Dasyatidae. The transcript is spliced from 3 exons.
UCGGGUAUCUCAGAAACUGCUGAUCUCCUGGGAUUUUCGUACACAACCUUCUCCGGAGUUUACCAGGAAUGGUGUGGGAAACAAAAAGAAGUAACGAGUGAGCAGCAAUUCUGUGGGUGAAAAUGCCUUGUUGAUGAGGGAGGUGAGAGGAAAAUGUCCAGACUGGUUCGAGCUGACAGAGGCAGCAAGAAGUCUGAGCUCUCCAAACUUCUCAUACCACAGAUGUCACAUGGCCUCGUACCACAGAAACCAGGGAGGACUGAAAAAUUAUUUCCAGGAUCGGUAGAUUUUUUUGAAUUUAGGAUAUGUGCAUCAAGAGUGAUCUCCAAUGGGCCAUUUAUCUACUGUCCAGUGGAAAACAGAGUUGGCAAAGAAUUGGCUCCAUCCUGUCAGCUGAUGGUUCUCAACAAUAGACCUUGCAAUGAAGUGUUUUCUCUCAAGCAACCAUUUGCACUGAAGUUGCAUUAAUGCUCUCAGUGGGGUGUAUGUUCCUACUAGCUGUGUUCCAGUAAAAAUAUUUAACUUGCUUGCACCACGUCUCUUUGUGUGCUUCCAUAAUGCAGGUGCUAACCCAUUUGUUUUCGUAGUGACACGCAACACGUUUACAUAGGAAUGGUACCAGUGGGAAAAUACCUGCCUCUGGUGUUCCUCAGUAGCAGAAAUGCUGGCCUAUAAAACUAAAUUUUGUUUGAAGGUUGGACCAUCAAUCUAUCACCAUCAGGCCAAGAACUGUUCAGUUCUGCAAAAUCAAUAUACACAAUAUCACAAGGACUAAUUGGUGUUGACAGCUCAAAUACAGUACAACACCAGAAUUUCCUACUUAAAUUUCCCUACCUCUCUCUACCUUAAAUCACUGCUUAAAACCUCCUUUUUGACCAAAUUCAUGUUCAGCUAUCUGGAUAUCCUCUUACACUGUACAUUGUCACAUUCUGGGUGGCAUGGUAGAGUAACGGUCAACAUAAUGCUUCACAGUGCCAGCAAUCAGAAGAUUGGGGUUCAGUUCCCACUGCUGUCUGUACAUUCUCCCCGUGAGCACAUGGGUUUCCUCUGGGUACUCUGGUUUCCUCCC